AGCAGUAGCCACGGUAAAACGUAGGUGGCAAGCGUUGUCCGGAAUUAUUGGGCGUAAAGGGCUCGCAGGCGGUUUCUUAAGUCUGAUGUGAAAGCCCCCGGCUCAACCGGGGAGGGUCAUUGGAAACUGGGAAACCUGAGUGCAGAAGAGGAGAGUGGAAUUCCACGUGUAGCGGUGAAAUGCGUAGAGAUGUGGAGGAACACCAGUGGCGAAGGCGACUCUCUGGUCUGUAACUGACGCUGAGGAGCGAAAGCGUGGGGAGCGAACAGGAUUAGAUACCCCGGUAGUCCCUGUCUCUUAUAC
This 303-nucleotide ribosomal RNA is filed under the name uncultured bacterium. Its description in RNAcentral is "partial 16S ribosomal RNA". It matches the Rfam family "Bacterial small subunit ribosomal RNA", at positions 507 to 807 of the family's 1533-position model. The record is from RNAcentral.